UACGGAGGAUGCGAGCGUUAUCCGGAUUUAUUGGGUUUAAAGGGUGCGUAGGCGGCCGAGUAAGUCAGCGGUGAAAUUUUGCAGCUUAACUGUAACAGUGCCGUUGAUACUGCAUGGCUAGGAUUUGGUUGCUGUGGGUGGAAUGUGUGGUGUAGCGGUUAAAUGCUUAGAUAUCACACAGAAUAUCAAUUGCGAAGGCAGCUCACAAAGCCAAGAUUGACGCUGAGGCACGAAAGUGUGGGGAUCAAACAGGA
RNAcentral lists this ribosomal RNA (254 nucleotides) under uncultured prokaryote. RNAcentral describes it as "partial 16S ribosomal RNA". It matches the Rfam family "Bacterial small subunit ribosomal RNA", at positions 524 to 777 of the family's 1533-position model. The record is from RNAcentral.